GGACAAGGUCACGUCAGCACCGUGAAGUCAGAUCUCUGAAAGAUAACUCGCAGGAGUGAAGACAAGGGUGUUCUCAGUGCUUCAGCCUGACAAACACAAGUGCACACUGCAUGUAUCUGGUCUAGGACAACAUAAGGAAACACGUCUACCACACAGCACAGAGGACUUUGUGUUUCAAAAUGAAGAUUUAUUUAUAGAAAUCUGGCUGUCACCGCAGCAGCUUCCAUGAUGCGCCACCAGUUUUUCUCCACACGGCGUUUUUUACCCCAC
Molecule: long non-coding RNA, 270 nt
Filed under: Fukomys damarensis (Damara mole-rat)
Lineage: Eukaryota; Metazoa; Chordata; Mammalia; Rodentia; Bathyergidae
Description: lncRNA (ENSFDAG00000032017.1)
Source: RNAcentral